This 576-nucleotide ribosomal RNA is filed under the name uncultured fungus. Its description in RNAcentral is "eukaryotic LSU rRNA". The stretch from base 207 to 360 matches the Rfam family "5.8S ribosomal RNA". Lineage: Eukaryota; Fungi. The record is from RNAcentral.
CUUGGUCAUUUAGAGGAAGUAAAAGUCGUAACAAGGUUUCCGUAGGUGAACCUGCGGAAGGAUCAUUACCUAGAGUUGUAGGCUUUGCCUGCUAUCUCUUACCCAUGUCUUUUGAGUACCUUCGUUUCCUCGGUGGGUUCGCCCGCCGACUGGACAAUUUAAACCAUUUGCAGUUGCAAUCAGCGUCUGAAAAACACAAUAGUUACAACUUUCAACAACGGAUCUCUUGGUUCUGGCAUCGAUGAAGAACGCAGCGAAAUGCGAUAAGUAGUGUGAAUUGCAGAAUUCAGUGAAUCAUCGAAUCUUUGAACGCACAUUGCGCCCCUUGGUAUUCCAUGGGGCAUGCCUGUUCGAGCGUCAUUUGUACCUUCAAGCUCUGCUUGGUGUUGGGUGUUUGUCUCGCCUCUGCGUGUAGACUCGCCUUAAAACAAUUGGCAGCCGGCGUAUUGAUUUCGGAGCGCAGUACAUCUCGCGCUCUGCACUCAGAACGACGACGUCCAAAAGUACAUUUUUAACGCUUGACCUCGGAUCAGGUAAGGAUACCCGCUGAACUUAAGCAUAUCAAUAAGCGGAGGA